UACGAAGGGGGGCUAGCGUUGCUCGGAAUUACUGGGCGUAAAGGGCGCGUAGGCGGAUAGUUUAGUCAGAGGUAAAAGCCCAGGGCUCAACCUUGGAACUGCCUUUGAUACUGGGGAUCUCGAGUCCGGAAGAGGUUGGUGGAACUGCGAGUGUAGAGGUGAAAUUCGUAGAUAUUCGCAAGAACACCAGUGGCGAAGGCGGCUCACUGGCCCCGGAACUGACGCUGAGGCACGAAAGCGUGGGGAGCAAACAGGG
This 256-nucleotide ribosomal RNA is filed under the name uncultured bacterium. RNAcentral describes it as "partial 16S ribosomal RNA". It matches the Rfam family "Bacterial small subunit ribosomal RNA", at positions 524 to 777 of the family's 1533-position model. The record is from RNAcentral.